GUUUAUAAUCAUUUUUUAUAACAGCGAAUGUCAUAAAAACUUAAGCUCAUCACAUUAUUUUAUUGAUGAUUCGAUCAGUAAUCUGCUCGAUCUGAAACAAGGACAACAGAUGGAGGUGGAACACAUGCAGAAAACAACAAUGAACAGACGCAGAGAGCAGCAACAGUAGACACCGAGUCGGCUAGCUAAGCCUGGUGUGAUGAUGAUGCUCGUAGAUAACUUAAUGAAGGCUGCAAACACACAGACACAAAAGCUCAACGAUUAGUCUUACUAUUUAUACUUACAAAUUAAGAUUAAAUGGCUAACGAGUACUUAGAAUAUAAUCUUUCAAGUUAGGAGUGGAGGAUGUACUUGUUGCAGUUGACGUUGUUGUUGAUGGGGAAAGAGACGGAGACGCCGCACUUGCCGGGGAUGUUGGCGGCGUUACCCAUGCUGAUGCCAUUGAACGACCCCGCCAGGUUCUUGAGGCAGCGGCACGCCGCCUGCCGGUCUGCCGAGGUGGACGCCUUACCGUUCAGGGUCCUCACCCCGCUGCAGCACCCCGCCGAGGGUGACGAUGCUUGCCCCGUCGCGUAGGACAUGCACGGCGCGAUGGCGGACGUCACGUCGCUGCAGGUCACCGCCCCAGACGCCAUUUCCGCCACCGCCAGUGCGGCGAGCACGCUGAACACGGCGAGCAGUGCCACGCGAGCCAUCGAGGAUCUAGUGCUUCAGCUUCCUUGCUGGAAAUGGAGCUGGGAAGGAGCAGAGAGCUUGAUUGGCUUGUGUGGUGGUGGUGGAGAUGGAAUGGAACUCCGUGGAGCGGGGUAUAAAUAGCCGGCUGGUGAGAGCUGGCAAGAAGAAGAAGAAAAAGAUAAGGUGUUCCUGCAGCAUUGCACUGCUGGGUGGCGGACGGUGGUGCGUGCAUGCGCAGUACUACGUAGCUAGCGGGGCAUGCAUGCAUGCAUGUGCAUGAGGGUGGUUGGGCGCUGGGGACCGUACGAUGAAUCGACCGGUCGCGUCCACUGCACGCAUGUGACACUUUUUAUUUACACACAAUACGUUAUAUAAAAUCUCCCUAGUUUAGAAUUUGGGUCAGUCGAUUUUCACGUGAAGAAAGAAGCCCAAUGAUGACGUCAAGGACUCGGAUGCGAGCGCGUGUCCGAGUCCUUGGAUGUCAGGCAGGGGCGAAUGCACGUACAAGCUUGUGGGGGCGAAUGCCCCCACUCCUUUUUUUCAGCUUACGUGUACCAGGCCAGAAUAUACAGAGCUGCCCCCACUCAGCCCAAGCUAUUUGCCCCCACUUCCUUUUUUCCCCCUGCUGUAUGUUGAAAGCCCGUCUAUGAAAAUUACACAGGGUUAUAAGCCCAGGAGCCCAUCCUCGAUUUGCUAGAAACGUACGAGGUCUUUCGGAGUUUCAGAUGUGUUCGUCGCCUGUGCUCGCGUGACGCCUUUACAAGCUGUAACCGCCGCGCCGCCGCCUGUGGCUCUAGGCUGCACAUACACCUCGCCCCUUUGGCGAUCAGCCUCGAUCUGCACUGCGCACGCCAGCCAGCCGGCCCGCCAUGCGCCAUCCCCAAGGUAGAAGCCGUACUAAUCAAUCAUUCAAUCAAGGUAAGCCCAAGGUUUAGCUCUCUUCUUUUCUUUCUAAUUUCCCCAUUAUUAUUUUAUUCUGAUUUCCAUGUCAAAGAGGUAGUGAAUUGUAUCAAAUAUCCAUAUGUAUAAAUUAUAAUGUACAAAUUGGUAAUUAGGUUGAUUGAAUCUAGGUUCCCGUGAUAAUUCCAUAUGGAUAAGUUUGAACACAUGGGAGUAAAAUAAAAUCUAUAGUAAUAUUCUUCCUUCACGGUCUCAAUUUAUUUAACCUUAAACUAUUCGGCAUUGACAGGAAAGCUAAUGGAGAGGUGUUUAUCUGUCAAUGUUUAUAUGCUCUCUAUAUUCAAACAUAUUUCUUCUUCAUGCGGCUUGAAGGCUAGAAAUGAGGGGCAUACCAACAAAAAGGAAAGACAUAUUCAAGUUAUUGUGCCUCAAGUGGUUAGUUUACUCUUACUUUGGCAAUGAACUUAUCAUAAUUAAUUAAUUAUGUGUGUGAUAACAUUAUCUUAUAAGAAAGUAUGUGAUUUUGCUUCUUACACAUUAAAUGCAUGGUUGUGUGGUUUUUUUUAAUUAUUUAGCCAUUAGUUUGAUAUAUAUUUCGGAAAAAAUUACAUAUACAUCUUUGCCCCCUCUUGGUUUUCAUCCUGGCUCCGCCCCUGAUGUCAGGGAACUAGCGGUUGAAGGCAGCGUAGGAGUCGGAACUAGCAGUUGAAGGCAGCGUAGGAGUUGGACCGUGCUGCACCGCGAAGAACAGGGCGUGGGGGAAGCCCAUGCCCACAUCCUCGUGAAGCAACAAACUUGGGCCGCCCGUGCCCUCGCCGGCAUGCCUCCAGAAUCGGACGAGAUGUUUGUUGUCUUUGUUGUAGUAUAUGACGCCGUUGUUGAACUUUUGUUGUCCUAUGUCAUCCGAUGUUUGAACUAUGUCCUAUGUAUGCUACAUAUAUGUUGAUCGAUGUUCCAUAACUUUGUAUGGAUUUGAGGGUUCGUAAAUGAGGAGCAUUGUUACCCGAGCGGACAAAUGGGGGUUGAGCCGCGGAAUUCCCUAUCCGCCGCAUUUUGCGGCAAAAUGCCGACCUGCCGCACACCCUUUGACCGUUCGUGGGCCGGCCCGUGUCGGAUGCAUCAUACAGAUGAAAAUCGCUACAGAAUUCCCUAUCCGCCGGAUUUUGCGGCAAAAUGCCGACCUGCCGCACACCCCUUGACCGUUCGUGGGCCGGCCCAUGUCGGAUGCAUCAUAUAGAUGAAAAUUGCUAAAAAAAGUGAAGAGAGGGAGGAUUUGGACCUCAAACCUCCCACUUCUAGAGAUUUGAGUAUAACCACUCGACCAUAACAACACUAGUGUUCUAUAAGUGCAAAGAGGUCUGCUAUUAUAUGUUUCUUUCUUUCACGUUUUUUCAUUUUUUGUUUUCCUUUUUCUUUCUUUCUUUUAUUUUUGUUUUAGAAAUAUCGCAACUUCAAAAAAGUUCAAUAUAUUUCAUACUUUAUUCGGCUUUUUAUAAAACAUGUUUGAUUUUUUUGUUCAGGUUUCAAAUAACAUUCCGUGCUUUUCAAAAAAUGUACAAAAUUUGUUCAUGUUUCAAAAUGUGUCCGGUGUUUCAAAAUUUGUUCAUGAUUUUCAGAAAAUGUUCGUGUUUUCAAAUUUGUUCAGAUUUUCAAAAAGUUUUGGAAUUUCACAUUUGUUCCCUUUUUCAAAAUUUGCUCGUAAUUUUCAAAAAAUGUUCGUGUUUUCAAAUUUGUUCAAAUUUUCAAAAUAGUUUUGGAUUUCACAUUUGUUCCCAAUUUUCGAAAAUUGUUCGUGUUUUUCAAAAAAUUAUUCGCAUUUUCAAAAAAUGUUCACGUUUCAAAAUUUGGAUAGACAUUUCAAAAAUGUUCAAGAAUUUUGAAAAAUGUUUGUGGUUAUAAACUUGUGUUCAUACUUUCACGAAAUUUUCCAUUUUUAUUUUUUUGUUCACCAGUUCAAAAAAUGUUCCCUGUUUGAAUUUUUCUUCAGAAUAUCACGAAAUGUUCACCAGUUCAAAAAAUGUUCAUACUUUCACGAAAUUUUCCAUUUUUAUUUUUUUGUUCACCAGUUCCAAAAAUGUUCCCUGUUUGAAUUUUUCUUCAGAAUAUCACGAAAUGUUCCAUUUUUCAAUUUUUUGUUCACAAAUUCAAAAAAUGUUCGUGGUUUCAAAUUUGUUUGGAAUUUCAUAAUUUGUUCACAAAUUCAAAAAAUGUUCAUGGUUACAAAUUUCUUUAGAAUUUCAUAAUUUGUUCACACGGUUUCAAAUUUGUUCGGAAUUUCAUAAUUUGUUCACAAAUUCAAAAAAUUGUUCACGUUAUCACAAAAACAAUUUCUGACUUUUCAAUUUUUUUGUUCACAUAUUCGAAAAACUUUCUUGUCUCUAUUUUUUCAUGAAUUCAAAAAAUGUGCGCACUUUUUUAAAGAGACACAUUCGAAGAAACUAUACUUUAAAACAAAUCAAUACAACAAGUAAUUUUGGGUUCACUACAUCAAUCGUUUCCUGUUCGCUACAGUGCACAAGUCAGGUUUAGUUCUUUAAAACAUGCGCUGCACUUUAACCAACUGUGCUAGUCUAGUCUGCUGGCGACGUGUCCGCGGUCGCUCCCACUUGGUCGCAAGUUCGAAUCCUCGUUGCGCCUGACUUCUGUUUUUGCCAUUUUUCGUCCCGCGGUGAAGCUUUAUGGGCCGGCCCAGUCGAGCUGCACCUGUGCGUCUGGCCACCAAUUUGACGCAAAGAGCGUCCAAUAGGAGCUCUCUUGAGCCGCUCCUAUCCACCGAUGCGUCCUCAGUUUGCGUCCAAUAGGAGCUCUCUUGAGCCGCUCCUAUCCACCGAUGCGUCCUCAGACAUACAUGGGGUAAAAUUAAGUAAGUCUGGUUGGAGAUGUUCUAAGCUAGCGUGAUAAGGCCCCUGGGUGGGGGCAUUAUCUAUAAGAGCAUAAUCUAUAUAUGCAGCAGAAUAUGUUGUGUCUGACUAUAUGUCUCAACAAUGUAAUGAGUUAUAUAUAUAUAUAUAUAUAUAUAUAUAUAUAUAUAUAUAUAUAUAUAUAUAUAUAUAUAUAUAUAUAGACACGCUAAACUAAGCCAGAGCGCAUUAUAGGCUAUCGUACGCGCCGGCUGCCCGACCGAGUCUCUCAACUACUCUAAUUAGUCCGCUCCGCGCGCCUCCUUACCGGUUGGAAAUUCACCGUAAAAAACUAAUGGGACAUGGUAAUGGACUUUAAUCAUUACUACGGCUCUCCACUGUUGGAUAGUAAAAUUUGCUAUGUCUUCACUGUAAUAAACUAAUGGAACACAGUAGCGGACCCUAAUCAUUACGACUCUCCACCAUUGGAUGGUAAAAUUUUCUAUGCCUGUUCAGGCCUAUUUGCACGUAGUAAUGUGUUCAUAAAACGUAGUUGCAAUUUGUGAAGGGAACAUAGUAAUCAGGUUAUUAAAUUCUUUGGCCAAUUUUGCGCAAAAAAUAAUAAACCAAAGUAGAUCAGUCGUAAGCUUAAAAUAUUUUAUGUUUAUUUAGACUUCUUUAAUUCUCACUAGUACGUGAUUUUCCGCCAUACCACAUCGUAAUGCAAUUACUAGCACCUACUGUAGCUAGUAGGAUUCAUGCAUAGAGUGGUAACGCUGUUACCAUAGGUACAUUUUCCAUUUAAAUAAAACAAAACUAAUAUUCAAUGUCAGCCGUUAGCCACGUACAUGGUAAUUGUAUUUCUGACAUACAGUAAACCAAUUACUAGAGGAACCGUUCACCGGCGCUUACUUUUUCCAAGCGUUGGCUAGAAUCGUACAUUCUUUUAACAUAGUAAACCAACUAAUCUCAAAAAAAAACAUAGUAAACCAACUACUAUGUGUUCACCUUAUUUUACGAUCAGAGGACUGACUGCUGCACGGCCUCGUAAUGGAUUUACUGCUGCAAUGCCUCGUAAUGUACUAGUACUUCCGUUACCAUGUACGCUGAUAUGAUUACCGUCAUUAGUAGAUGGUGGGUUCAAGCGUCUAGUGUUGCGGGGCGGAGAUGGGGCGCUGACUACGGUAAAAGAAUUUAAUCAAUUACUAUUUUUUGUAUUGCUUGUUACUUCCAUUUCCUAAUCCCUAUAGGGACAGGAACAAGCGGCCCGUCGGGUGGGUCAUUAGCGACCAGCGCGUACGAUUAGGCGUUUUGCGCUCUCGCGCAGUUUAGCGCNNNNNNNNNNNNNNNNNNNNNNNNNNNNNNNNNNNNNNNNNNNNNNNNNNNNNNNNNNNNNNNNNNNNNNNNNNNNNNNNNNNNNNNNNNNNNNNNNNNNNNNNNNNNNNNNNNNNNNNNNNNNNNNNNNNNNNNNNNNNNNNNNNNNNNNNNNNNNNNNNNNNNNNNNNNNNNNNNNNNNNNNNNNNNNNNNNNNNNNNNNNNNNNNNNNNNNNNNNNNNNNNNNNNNNNNNNNNNNNNNNNNNNNNNNNNNNNNNNNNNNNNNNNNNNNNNNNNNNNNNNNNNGGGCAAGUUGGAGAAAGGCCAAAUUUUUGGUAUUGCUAAAGUUGUUAUAGAGUUUUUUUUGCGGAAUAAAGCUGUUAUAGAGUUAGGCAUGACACACUCUUCAUUAGCCAUAAUCAGUUUAAAUUUUAGAUAAACAAUAUCCUUCCUACUUAUAAAAUUCGACUUGGUGGUCAUUUGUUCAUUUCCUUCUCAACAUUUCUCUUUUAAACCAUGCCAAGUGGUCACUACUGGAAUCAGCUUCUUUGCCGUCCGUCAUGGCAGACGGCAAAGGCACAGAUCCCGGAUGGCAAACUCCUUUGCCGUCAGCCAGCGGACGACAAACUGUCCGUCUGAACACGUGCCAGCAAAGGCCUUCUUUGCCGUCCGCCAUCCGAGGCAAGCAGACGACAAAGAGAACGAACGACAGUGGGGUGGGGUGAGAGCCGUUAGGGGGUUAACGGCGCUCUUUGCCGUCCGCUGACAGACGACAAAAAGCUCAGCUAGGCCAUCACUGGGAAGCUGCCACGUGGCCAGCUAUGCCGUCUGCCAGCGGACGGCAAAGUGACCAAAUAGGCAGCCAGUGUUCCCAGUUUAUACAGGUGGCUGCCACGUGUCCUCUUUGCCAUCCGCUAGCAGACGUCAAAGAAGCUAUAUAUCCCCUGUUUUUAUUUAUAUCUUUUUAAUUUCACAGGAAUUCACACACAGAUAUACAUUUUUUUCACAGGCACAACAGACAUAUGAUGUAUCCAACACAUAGCUCCACCCAUGACAACAUACAUACAUAAGAAACACAGUUCCAUCCAUACAUAUUAUAGUAAUAUCACAAUGUUCAUCCAACACAUUGCUCCAUGCAUCCAUAUAACAAGUUCCACAUUUUUCAUCGAUACAAACGAAAAGAAGAACAGGGAGACAAGCAAUCAAUCCAUGCAAGCUUCCAUAUAGUGAAUUAAAUCUGCAAAAUGGAAAACAAGAAAGUUAGAAGAAGAAGACUAGAAUCAGAAGAAGAAGAAGAAAAUGAAGAAGAAGAAGAGGAAGAAGGAGAAGUUAGCAUACUUAGGUAAAAUGGAGCUAACCUAGCUAAUUAUGCUAUUUUUGAGUGAACUAACCUAGGUAACUAAGCAUAUUAGAGCUAACUUAGAGCUAACUUCAUUUUGGAGAAGAAGAAGAAAACUAGAAGAAGAAGAAGAAGAAGAAGACUUUCUUCUUCUUCUUCCUAUUCCUUGAUUUUCUUCAUCUUAUUAUGUCAUUUGUGGACUAAAUAGGCUAAAUUAUGUCAUAAAUGGACUAAAUAGGCUAAAUAAGAAGAAAAAUGCCAUUUUUGAGCUUAAGUAGCUAAUUAUGCCAUUUUUGACCUAACUAAGCUUAUUGUGUCAUUUUAGAGGACAACAAGCUAAGUAUAUGACAUUUAUGAGGUUAGCAAGGUUAUUAUGCAAACCUAGGAAACUAAGCAUAUAAGAGAUAACUUAGCAUAUUAGAGCUAACUUAUGUCAUUUCGGAGGAAACAAAGCUAAGUAUAUAUAGAUCAUUUUGGAGAUCUGACAUACCUGACAUAGUUCACUCCUCCUUCCUCUUCUCCUGCUCCUUCCUCAUCCUGAUGCGCCAAGAGCGGCGAGGCGGUGGAGGCAGUGGGAUGUAGUCUUCUACCACAAUUGGCAUGGUCAUGUCGCCUGGAUGUGGGAUCACCGGUGCCACCACCAUUGCGAGCUCAUUGUCAGGCACCACCACCAUCGCGAAGCCAUCUUCAGGCAGCACCAUCGCUAGGUCAUCCUCAGCCACCACCAUCUGUUGCCCAUCGUCAGCCUGCACCUCCUCAUCCCCACUAUGCUCCUCUUCUUCCCCACUCCAUUUUGGAUCAUCCUCGCUGCUACUUUUGCUGCAGCCCAUUGCCUGACCAAAUGCAAUAAUGACCGUUAAAAUCGAUGUGAGACAAAGCCAAAUGUAGAGUAAGAAGAGGCAGAAGGCAUCAUCGUCGUCCUGGUAGCGCAUGCGACACAUAGUCGUGUUGAACACCUUCACGGUGACAUGGCGUCGCCGUCGUACCUGAAGAGAAGGAAGUACCCGUGCCACAGGUCGUAGGCAUGGUAGAACUGCUCCCAGCCACAACACAGGUACAUGUGGCCGUUCCUGAUCACCAACUCCACGUCCCAAUGCCUGUGAAGCCCGCUGCUGGCCUAUCGUAGCUUCACAUUCUUUAGCCGAUGGCCGUCCAGCAUCUUCAUAAAAGUGUCAGGCAGCCUCUAUAGUGUGGGUCAAGGAGUGAUGUAGCAAAUAUCAGAGUUAUCAUAAAGAGAUGGGUGAAGGGGAGAUCUCUCCUUUUAUAUACCUGCCUCCUGGAGGAAUUCUCAAGUAUGAUAGUGAAGGACUCAAAAGCAUCCAACUCGUACUCCAGUGUGGCAGAGCGCAACCUUCCGGUGGCGGCCUCCCCCCAUCUCUGAUAAGCAGCAGAAGAGACCAAUUAGUAAUGCUCAUGUUUCAAAUUGAUCAUAGACAAAUUGAUGAUAGGUACAUUAGCAGUAAUAUUAUGGUCAUCACCAAUAAAUCAUUAGAGGAUAAAUGCAUUAAUAUUGACCAAGAAUUAUAAAGUUCCAAAUUGUGCAUAUUUACUUGAAUGUUCCACAAAAUGGCAACCUUUGCAUGUGCAUAAUUCUAAAUUGUACUGAAUGGCAGCUGUUGCCCCUAACUGAACUAAACCAAAUUGCAAAAUCUUGCCCAGAACUGAACUUGAAGACAACUAAAUGGUAACUAUUGCCUACAACUGAACUGGCCUUGAGAGAAGAUGGCAAAAUAGAUCAAUUUGUGAGCAUGUCAUUGCAAGAAGGUGCUGGUGGCGAAGCAGAUCAACUAAACUAAACUGAACUACGGCCCAGAACUAAACACUUGAGCAGAAAUCAACAAUACAAAGUGGCAAAUUAUUUCAUUUGCUUGCUUCUUUAGACUCUCACUAAAAUUAGGCAUGGAAUUUCACUAAAACAAAAAGUGUAUCACCAUAACCCAGUAAAAUUAUCAUCUGGGACUAGUCUCUGUAGUUUAAACAAGGAAGCAAGAUCUUUCUUUCAAAUUAUCAUCAUAGUUGUAAACUAACUAUAUGAUCAAGAUUACCAUGCUACAAUGAUCACAGUACGAAAAACACAAGUGAUUCGCACUCAAUAUUCUGUAACAAUCCCAGUUCACACAAUAUAAAACCUGAAUUUAAUAGCUAGUCACUUUGUCCUUAUUCACUUAAUAGAAUCUGAAUUCAAACUUUGUUGUUUCUGCCUAACUGAUACUAAAAACACUAGUACAACUCCAUUCCUAAGCAUCUUCUACACCACAUAUGAACCACCGACAAACCUAAACCACCAGCAAAUUCGCACCAAGAAUAGGAACAAAUCAUGCUGGAAAGAAAUGGAGGAAGGGGGAAUUUUUCGCUGUACCUUGCUUCGACAUCUUGGAAGAGGGGGCUGUACCCGGCGGCGGCGGCGGAGGGGGAAGGACGAUGCUGGGGUGGAGGAGGGGGGCGCUGCGGCUCGGGCACGGGAGCGGNNNNNNNNNNNNNNNNNNNNNNNNNNNNNNNNNNNNNNNNNNNNNNNNNNNNNNNNNNNNNNNNNNNNNNNNNNNNNNNNNNNNNNNNNNNNNNNNNNNNNNNNNNNNNNNNNNNNNNNNNNNNNNNNNNNNNNNNNNNNNNNNNNNNNNNNNNNNNNNNNNNNNNNNNNNNNNNNNNNNNNNNNNNNNNNNNNNNNNNNNNNNNNNNNNNNNNNNNNNNNNNNNNNNNNNNNNNNNNNNNNNNNNNNNNNNNNNNNNNNNNNNNNNNNNNNNNNNNNNNNNNNNNNNNNNNNNNNNNNNNNNNNNNNNNNNNNNNNNNNNNNNNNNNNNNNNNNNNNNNNNNNNNNNNNNNNNNNNNNNNNNNNNNNNNNNNNNNNNNNNNNNNNNNNNNNNNNNNNNNNNNNNNNNNNNNNNNNNNNNNNNNNNNNNNNNNNNNNNNNNNNNNNNNNNNNNNNNNNNNNNNNNNNNNNNNNNNNNNNNNNNNNNNNNNNNNNNNNNNNNNNNNNNNNNNNNNNAGGUCGGGGCUCCGUAGGGGAGGGGUGCGGGGCGGCCGGCUACGGCAGACGGGGUCGGCGGCGGCGGCGUGGGUGUGGUGGGGAGGGAAUGAGAGAGUGAGAGAAGAGAGAGAGGACGUGGGAGGGACGGCCGUUAACGUACCCGCCUCUUUGUCGUCCGCCAACGGUCGACAAAGAGGUGGGGCCGGUGGGCUGUAGUUGGUUAAACAAUAACUGGACCCACCCAAUUCUUUGCCGUCUGCUAACAGACGGCAAAGAAUUGGCUGAUGGCAAAGACCUUGUUUGCCAUCAGCCAAUUUUUUGCCGUCCGUUUUCUUGUGGCUGACGGUAAAGACCUUCUUUGCCGUCAGCCAACAGACGACAAAGAGUUGGCAGACGGCAAAUAAGCUAAUUCCAGUAGUGGGUGAUGGUUCCCCCAAACAAUCCUCAAUUCCACCAGGAUAGAAUUUGGAGAGAGAUGGGACAUACCCAGUGUGCCAUGGAGCGCAACGACAACAAUUGUUUGACAUGCAAAGCAAUACAAUUUGUUGAUCCAUAGCUAAGCAUGGGUAUUUAGCUAGUAAAUUCUAAGUACUCAUGCAUGGACUCCAUGGUUUCGGUACAAAAUGAAAAUUAAGCAUGAACCGAUGGCCACCAAUUUACCCCUCAAUAACAACAUUAAAAUUUGGAGAAAAAGAGCACCCCCAACAAUCGAGAGCGGAAGAGACGAGUUGACACUUUAUGUUGUCUAGAAUUAUCUAUUAGUUACACCCAACAUAAAAUCAUGUACUCAAGUAUUUAUGGAAGUUAUUUGCUAGAUAUCUAAAACACUCUUCAAAGUUAUGUAUACAUAAGGAUAUUAUGGAAAAGAAUGCAUACAUACAUAGAGUGCAUCAAUAAAUUUAUGAAAUAAUGUGAAAAUAUUGAUUUUAUCAUAUUUAUGGUGAAAUAUAUUGUCAUGAAAGAUUUUUCUCAAAACCCCAAACUGAAUAAUAAAACCAACUGCAACAAAUACUGUUCCAAUUUACACUAGAAACAUAUUUGUAAUGACAAAUAUUAUAAUUACGUCUCAAUAGAAAUGAAUUUGGUACAUUGUUAGUGCUACUAGUUAUGAAAUAGUUCCGGCAUGUUAUAUGGAAAGAUAUGUCAAAACAUCAUAAAUAUAGAGAAAAACCUAAAAUAUUACAAAGUAAAAAACCUCAAUAUAAACUAGGUAAUAUACAUUUUUAUCUCGCAUUGGCCCCAUGAAUCAGAUGGCACGGGUUUUGGCACGCUCAUCCUACUUCAUCAUAAAAUCGAACAUGACAUCGCCCAUAGUAAAUUAUUAUCCACGAGGGAGGCAAUAGUCACCAUAGAAAUUCAGAAAGCUCAUAGGUCUCAAGUUCAUGUCUAACAUCUAUAAAAAAAACCUCUGGAAGAGUGAUGUGCCUCCCAAAGAGCAAUUCUUCACAUGACUGGUUAUGUGAAACGUUGUUGGAUGGAUGACCGUCUUUCAAGGCGUGGCAUGCAACACGCUUCCUCAUGCACGUUCUAUGACCAGAUACCUGAAUUGAUUGCUCAUACAUAUUGAUCCAGUGUCCCUUCACGAGGCAUUUUUGGUUGCUCUUUCGUCGUAGUUUCAAGCUCCGUCAUCUGACCCGAAUGCAGAUGUCAGGGUCAGAGAUUGGUGGUGCUCUAUGGAUAGGAAGAUGUCCUAGAUUAGUGCCAAGGAGAUGGCUACAUCAUGAUAGUGGGUCUUCAUAAGCUAUGCUUGGAACAUAACACCCGAGUUUUUGAUGAUAUAGCGCCGACUGCAUAGUGGGUCGCCCAGAUGGCGGUGAAUGAGUACAAGCUUUGGAUUCGAGCAAAGCGGAGAGAGAUAGAAGUUGAUGAGGAAUAUGCUUAGUUGUGGUUUAGGUGGAGGAGGUUUUGGCCGAUCUUUCCCUUUGGUGUAACAAAAUCUUGUUCUUGUUUCUUCACCAUUUGCUUGUAGUUCACUCUCCCCCUUCCUAAUGAAAUUGAUAGUCAACUAUUGUUUCUUGUUCUUAUUUUUUUUAUAAAAACUUGCAUUAUCUGUUUUGUACAAAAACAAGUUGUACAUAAGAAAAUUAUCCCAAAGCACACAACAAAUUCAAAAUCAACAAAACAAUACCGAAGUCACCAUCCUUGUGAAAUACUUCAAUGUUAUGAGCUACCGUAACACAGAAUUGUGAAAUGAUGUAAAUCCUUGUCCGUGUAAAUGAUUGGCAUGUUUACAAAAUAAGGACUUGUCUAAAAAAUAACCAUCCAUCCUUCUAUCACAACUCGUGUUAUGGGGCUCUAUAGCCCACCAGUUGAUAUAGUCCUUUCUAUUUUUUUAGCACCAAGUUUUGGUUCCCCAAACUCGGCCUGAGGACAACUCUAAUCCACCCCCAAGAAAAUAACUCCAAGAAAACUACCAUUUUUGGGGAAUUAGACAUAUCUGACACAACCCCAAAAGUCUAUAACUCCCAAAUAGUUGUCGAUCAAAUCAAGCCCCCUCCCAAUAUUAUCGGGGCUAAGUGAGCUAUCCAAUCAAUCUUCUAAUGGACCAAAUUCAUGCGGGAGGCAACUUACAUUUCGAAUUGCCACACACACUACCACUGCGAUUCACCGCACCGGGCUUGUCUCUAGCCACGCCACUGGCUAACGCACCCCAAUCCGCCCCACUGACCUUGCCCUGCCUUCCCUUGUUGCUCGCCACAAAUGGAAUCGCCUCCCAACCUGGCCCGCAACCACUGCCUUGUCAUAGUAUGGAUCCGAGAACCAGACCGACGAUGGUCACCGCUUGAGCUACAUGUUGCAUAAUGUUCGUGCCCCACCUAUAAAUAGACGUCGCCAAUGACCUCAAUUUACCCUGAUGUCCUCCGUUGUUGUGCCGCUCUCUCCACCACCGCCUUUUGACCCAAGAAAUAACAAGUUCCCAUGUCGUGUCGAUCAGGGAGCACAUGAUAGGGUGACAACUUCCUCCGGGUGAACACAAGUUGAGAUGACUCACUGAACCAGCCACCACAUGACCUCCUCUGUCAUGCCCUCAACCUAUUCGACAAGUGGUCCACAAGGUGAGUUGGCUUGAGCCAGUGGUGGAUCUUGAGCCAAAAACAUGGGGGGGGGGGGCAAACAUAAUUGUCUUGAACCUACUUUUGGUGAAAAAUAUGCCUAAUACAAAGGGAUAUAGGCUUGUUUUCUUGUGAGCUAGGGGGCCAUGGCCUAGGUUAGCCCCCAUGAAGCUCCGCCACUGGCUUGCGCAAGAGUUCUUUGACGAAUCAUCAUCAUCGGAGGAGGAAAGAUGAUGAUUAAUUUGAUAUGGUCUUGAUGAUGAUCGUGGAGGAAGAAGGAAGCAGUUCUUAGAUCGGUCAUAGGUACAUUCGUCAUAAUAGGGAAUAUGCAUAUGCCAAAAUCAUGAGAUACUAUUUCAUGGAAAGUUUAGUGUAUCAGGAAAACUUGUUCACACGAUGUCUAUGAAUGCCGACGAUGCUCUUUCUAGGACUACGGUCGAAGUACAUGAUUAUUGCCUCUUGCAAAGGGUGGAUGCAGUGAGAAAACUGUUGGGGAACGUAGCAGAAAUUCAAAAUUUUCCUACGAGUCACCAAGAUCUAUCUAUGGAGAAACCAGCAACGAGGGGAAGGAGAGUGCAUCUACAUACCCUUGUAGAUCGCUAAGCGGAAGCGUUCAAGUGAACGGGGUUGAUGGAGUCGUACUCGUCGUGAUCCAAAUCACCGAAGAUCCUAGUGUCGAACGGACGGCACCUCCGCGUUCAACACACGUACAGCCCGGUGACUUCUCCCAUGCCUUGAUCCAGCAAGGAGAGAGGGAGAGGUUGAGGAAGACUCCAUCCAGCAGCAGCACAACGGCGUGGUGGUGAUGGAGGAGCGUGGCAAUCCUGCAGGGCUUCGCCAAGCACCGCGGGAGAGGAGGAGGACUUGGGAGAGGGGGAGGGCUGCGUCAGAACUUGGGUGAAGCUCCCAUGCGCCUCCCCACUAUAUAUAGGGGUGGAGGGGGCUGGUUUCUUGCCCUCCAAGUCCAUUGGGGCGUUGGCAAAGGUGGGAGGAAAGAAAUCCCAUCAUUUCCUUCCCCACCGAUUGUUAUCCCCCCUUUUUAGGGAUCUUGAUCUUAUCCCUUCGGGAUAUGAUCUUAUUCCUUCUAAGGGGGAUCUUGGUGCGCCUUGACCAGGGAUGUGGGGCCUUGCCCCCACUACCCACGUUCAUGUGGGUCCCCCCAUGCAGGUGGGCCCCACUCCGGAACCUUCUAGAACCUUCCCGGUACAAUACCGAAAAAUCCCGAACAUUUUCCGGUGGCCAAAAUAGGACUUCCCAUAUAUAAAUAUUUACCUCCGGACCAUUCCGGAACUCCUCGUGAUGUCCGGGAUCUCAUCCGGGACUCCGAACAACAUUCGUUAACCACAUACAAACUUCCUUUAUAACCCUAGCGUCAUCGAACCUUAAGUGUGUAGACCCUACGGGUUCGAGAACCAUGCAGACAUGACCUAGACGUUCUCCGGCCAAUAACCAACAGCGGGAUCUGGAUACCCAUGUUGGCUCCCAAAUGUUCCACAAUGAUCUCAUCGGAUGAGCCACGAUGUCAAGGACUCAAUCGAUCCCGUAUACAAUUCCCUUUGUCUAGCGGUAUUGUACUUGCCCGAGAUUCGAUCGUCGGUAUACCGAUACCUUGUUCAAUCUCGUUACCGGCAAGUCUCUUUACUCGUUCCAUAACACAUCAUCCCGUGAUCAACCCCCUGGUCACAUUGUGCACAUUAUGAUGAUGUCCUACCGAGUGGGCCCAGAGAUACCUCUCUGUCACACGGAGUGACAAAUCCCAGUCUCGAUUCGUGCCAACCCAACAGACACUUUCGGAGAUACCUGUAGUGCACCUUUAUAGCCACCCAGUUACGUUGUGACGUUUGGUACACCCAAAGCAUUCCUACGGUAUCCGGGAGUUGCACAAUCUCAUGGUCUAAGGAAAUGAUACUUGACAUUAGAAAAGCUUUAGCAUACGAACUACGAUCUUUGUGCUAGGCUUAGGAUUGGGUCUUGUCCAUCACAUCAUUCUUCUAAUGAUGUGAUCCCGUUAUCAACGACAUCCAAUGUCCAUGGUCAGGAAACCGUAACCAUCUGUUGAUCAACGAGCUAGUCAACUAGAGGCUUACUAGGGACAUGGUGUUGUCUAUGUACUCACACAUGUAUCUGAGUUUCCUAUCAAUACAAUUAUAGCAUGGAUAAUAAAUGAUUAUCAUGAACAAGGAAAUAUAAUAAUAACUAAUUUAUUAUUGCCUCUAGGGCAUAUUUCCAACAAAAACUUAGUACAACUGCAAUUUAGAAGUGUUGUGCAACAAUGCAUGUGUUGGCAUAUGCAGUCCCAAGUGACUUGGCAUAUGAAUAUGUCCAAAUUUGCAAAGAUCUUAUCAUUACUUGUAUAAAGAGGUUUGCAAAGCAUGUGGUUGAGAUGUUCGGAGAAUAGUACCUAAUAGCAUCCAAUGAAAAUGGCACAACAAGGCUACUGAAUAUUGGUGCAAUGAGAGGGUUCCCUAGGACGCUUGGAAACAUCGAUUGCUUGCACUAGACAUCGAACAAUUGUCCUUCGAGAUGGAGUGGGCAGUUUACUAGGAUUUUGCAUGAUCUAACCAUCAUACUCAAAGUUGUUGCCUCCGAUGAUCAAUGGAUUUGGCAUUGAUACUUUGGUAUGCCUAGAUCUCACAAUAAAAACAAUGUCCUGCAAAGAACAAGUCUUUUUGUAAGGCUUGUUGCAGGGGAAACUUCAUCUUGCAACGUGGAAGUUACCGGUCACUAGUGUGAUAAGUGAUAUGACCUAGCAGAUGGUACCUACCCUUCAUGGUCCACAUUUGUCAAGAAAAAUUGAAAUACGGAAGGCAACAAGCACUACUAGGGAAAUGCUUAUAGGUAGGACAUCAGUAGUAGCACUGGAAAAUAACAAGCACUGCUGCUAGAGCAACGCUGCUCCGGGGCAGCGCUACAAGUGAUGCCUUAGUAGCAGCGUUGGAAAUGAAAAGAGCGCUACUCAUAAGUGGGACCCAAUGAGCCCACCGACGCUAGCUGUAGUAGCGCUUGUCUACCAACCAAUGCUACUACUAUGGGCACCUUAUCCAUCCUGCGUCCUCACUCUCCGCUCACACUCUCUCACUCGCUCUCUCUGCCACCACGUGCCAUCCCCGCCAUUGCCCGCCGUCACUCCUCUCUCCUCCCUCCGGCGGAGGCUAGGUAUCUGCCUCCCUCCUCCUCUCGCCGUCGUCCUCUCUCCUCCCUCUGGUGGCCCUCCUCUCUCCUCCCGCCGCCGCCGCCGGAUGCCCUCCUCCCACCUCCUCCGACCGCCCUGUGCCCUAAAUGUAGGUUUUUUGAAUAAAAUAGACGAAAAUCAGUAAAUGUACUUCAUUUGAAUAGAAUAGGAAAUUUUUAGUAAAUUUUCUUCUUUUGAAUACAAUAGAAAAUUAGUAAAUGUAGAAUAGAACAGAAAAUUAGAAACAAUUCAGUAAAUGUAGGUCUUUUGAGUACAAUUGAAUUUUUAUUCGUUUGAUCUUGGUCUUUUGAACCCAUUAUCUUUAAGUAUUAUAGGUAUCAAAUUAAAUAUGAAAAUGCCCAUGUCGAUGAUUAGAACUAUGUUUUACAAAUUUUUAGGGUUAGAACUUGGUUUUACAAAUUUUUGUUUUUGUUUUAGACAUAUGGUUUUAAUAAUGUUUUUGUGUAUAUUUUGUUUUUGUAGAAAUCAAGGAGCCCCUGCAUCAUCCCGGCCGCCGUCAUCCCCGUAACCGACCCCCUCCGACCUCGAGGUGAGACCAGCCAAAUCCCCAUAUAGAUAGAUGGAUGGAUGGAUAGCUAUGACAAUGUGAUGACCAGCCAAACACCUCCAAGUGGCCUAUGUUUUGACGAAGUGUCGACUAAUUUCCAUUCCGGCAAAUUUCAGGCGCUCGAUAUGUCCUUUCUAGCAAAGGUCAUGCCGGAUUAUUCCUUGAAUUUUGGAAUGACUUAUGCUAGAAUAUGUAGGAAAUAUCAAGGCGCUCGGAUUUUCUACAAAGAUAAUUAAACAACAUUUCGGAUUGACUUUAGGUCUGUCAAGGCUCCAUACAUGACGGUCAGAAAAUGAGUGAGGAAGAAUCCCGACUGUUGUCGUGGGGGUCAUUUCUCCUUCUUCUCCUUGUGCUAGACCUUUGUUAUGCACUAGGGGAAGGAGGAGUAACGACCAUCACUGACGGUCGAAAAAUCAGUGAGGGAGUGUCCACCAUAUAUGAGAGCGGACGAAGAAUCCCGACUGUUGUCGUGGGGGUCGUUUAUCCUUCUUCUCCUUGUGCUAGACCUUUGUUAUGCACUUGGGGAAGGAGGAGUAACGACCAUCACCGACGGUCGAAAUUCAAGAAAAGACUCGACAGACCAACAACCAAACCGUGAUGAAUAAUAAUGAUCUAAUUUAGUUUUUGGUGUACAUAUAUUGAAUUUUACAAGUUUAAUCUUUGAAUUAUGGACAUAGGAAAUGUCUGACGACGAUGAUAGGAUCCCGGAGUGCGACUACUGCGGCGACGACCAGGGUCUGUGCGAUAGGCCUCACCUGGUAGACGGUCGACACUUCAGUGUUAAUCUCGACGAGACGUUCGAUGUUGAAACAGUACACAAUGACAAGUCUUUUUUCGUAAUUAAGCAUGACUUAUGCUUCUUCAAUGUGUAAUUUUUGUCUUUUACAAUUCGACUAGCUUAUCCCAUGCCAUGCAAGACGCUAUGUCUUGGAGCAUCUGGAUUUCGAAGAUCAUAACAAUAUGGAGACAAAGAUAGUUCAUCUCAGGACCCAUCAUGGUUAUGAUUUUGCUGUAAGCUAUACAAUUCGGAGAGUGUACCCCAUUUUGGUUGCUCGAAUUGGGAAGCACUGUGCAAGGCAUAUGAUUUUCAGGAGGGUAUGUAUGUCACCUUCGUUCUUGGUGAUCAUGACGAUGGCAUUUGGGUCCUUGUUGACACGCUUCCGCUUCUACCUCUAUGUGAGUUUCUCAAACAUAUUUAUUAAGUAAUUUAUAUUUUUUAUUUCAAAAUAGUUGAGAACUUAUUUCAGAAUAGUUGACAGCUUAUUUUCAAUGACAACUUAUUUUCAUUCUUCAAAAAAUAUACGGAAGAUGGUAGACAGAACCUACUACAUUAAUGGCGCUGAUUUAACUUAUGAGGAGAAAGAUCAUCUUAUCUCAUUUAUUAUUGAUGUUGAGAAUUAUAAUAUCAAUUAUGAAACUCCUGCACAUUAUGGUCAAUAUGUGCCACUAGUGCGCGUGUUGAACUACAGUAACAUCCAUGGAGAUGGCAUGGUAAGAUUUUUACUAUGUCGACACCCAUGCAUUUUGCAUCUAUUCUUCUAAAGCUAAACUACAUUGCUAACCAUAAUGUUAUUAUUAUGUUUUUUCAACAAAAAAUCCUGAAGGAUUGUGUGUCUAAUCUGAUGUUUUUGAAAGGCCGGCUUGAUGUUAUUAGCUUAUGGCCAGGUCAUCCUAGGCUUCACCGUUGUUCAUACCGGAUUUCUAAAACCGAUGAAGACAUGACAAUCAAAGAAUGGAAAAAAUGUGUGGACAAUCAUAGGGAGCUACUUGGAAGCAACAUUGUGCGAAGCGCAAGAAUUGAAGACAGGAUAAUCUCCAUUCUCCAUAAUGGAGCGUCAGGGCCACUCUUGUUUUAUGCUAUUUUACCUUAAAGAGGGUAGUAGGUCCUAGCUAAUACUCAUGAUCAUGUGCUAAGAACAAUUAAAUGGGGUUGGUUAGAUGACUAAGAUGAUGAUGAGUAUGACUUGUUAUUAUGAUAACGAGUAGAAGUUGUAUGGUGAUGAUGAUGAGUAGGACUUGUUAUUAUGAUAACAAUGAUGAGUUAUAUAUUAUGAUGAUGAUGCAUGAUGCUAAGUUGUCAUAUGAGCAUAAUGAGUUAUUAUAUACAUCAGUGGGUGAAAUGAACUAUGUUGUGCAGGCAACAUGUUGUGCACAUAUCGAAAGUACUAAGCAGUAGUACUUUUGAUAUGUGCACCACAUGUUGCCUCCACUUGAAUCUAAUCCACAUUCAUUUCACCCACUGAUAUAUAUAAUAACUAAUCAUGGUCAUAAAAUCAUAUGAUGAAAGUACUUUAUAUAAAACCUAUACAAAUAUAGAGACAAUAAGCUGCAUUUUAAAAAAUAUAGGAAAAUUAAGUAGUAGCGCUUUUCAUAAGAAACGCUACUGCUACUUACUAUCAUCAGUAGCGCUAUUCCAGACCGAGCGCUACUGCUAACUAGGUAUAGCAGUAGCGCUGGAAAACCAGCACUACUACUAUCAGUUAGCUGUAGCGCCUUAGUGAUAGUGCUUGUAUAAGUGCUACUGAUAGCUAUAAAUCCAGCGCUACUGCUAGGAUUAUCCCUAGUAGUGAAGAGACCUCACCUUGCCUUCGCUCAAGAAUCUGUGAGAAAAGAUGUUGCGAGGGAUUUUUGUGUGUUGCAAGCUUGCUUUGUCACUAUUCUCAUGACAUGUUGUGUGAUCUUUCACAACAUGAUCAUAGAAAAUGAGAGAUGACAACCACACAACUUGGAUUUUGAUCCCAAUCAAGAUCAUUUCACACCUCUGUGUAAUGCAUCUAGACUCAUAGGUUUGAAGUGCAUCAACAAAUCAAAGAUAAGCAAACUCAUGUGAAACUACGGGAAGACCUUAUGAAGCACCACGGGCAAUGUCUUGGACAAUAAAUCUAUCAUGAAUCAUCCUGUGUAUUUAGAACAUUUGCUUCAUUUAGACCCCACGUGUUUAAAUUUGAAUUUGUAAGUCUGAAAACAAUGAGUUGGAAAUAUUGUUCAAAUAUUUGCAUCAUUGACAUCAAUAUUUGAACUACUAUGUUGUAGAAAUUAGUUCAAAUGGGGUCUAAAGUUUACAAAACAAAUUAAGAAAUGGCAAAGAAAGUUUUAUGAACUAAGUUUUGAGGAUAGGUUAGAUGUCACCCUCCCAAUACCUAGGAAUUUUUGGAGUUAAGUUUUAGGGAUUGAUUUUUGGGCACUAACUUCUAGGGAUGGAUUAGAAUUGGCCUGAUGAUGCUAGAUGCCGAGCUUUCGUUGAUGGUGGGGUGAUGCGAUGGCACCCAUAGGUCAUCGUUGUUUUUACUUGCUGGCUUCAAAGGCUUCCUAGAGUAUUUUGGUGGAGGUGUAGCUAUUGAACCACAGAGUUCAUCGUCCUCACUGGGCAAUGUUGAGGUCUUGAAGUUUGCAACCCUCAAUGUAUUUUUUGGCACCGGAACAACGAUAGAACCCCAUAGAGCAUCAUCUUCCAAUUUUGGUAGGGUGGAUUUGAUCUUGUUGAGUUUGAAACUACAUUUCACAAAAUGCAAUAGCAAAAGCAUAUAGAUUAUUAAGACUUAUGGUAGACCUACACAUGGUCUUACAUUGGAUAGAACAAAUGCACCAAGGCAACUGAAUAAAACUCACGGGCUUGCUUUGCUUGCACCACUCAACGGUAUUCAUAUUUGGAUAUGUCUUUUUUUUUGUUUCUCUAUGUGGUGAUUGAAUUUGGAUUUGAAAAUUUUAGAGAUGGUAGACACAUGUGAACAUUCACAGUUUUUUUCAUUUUUUAAUCUUUUGAAUUUGAAUUUUGUGUGUUGGUAUUAUGGCAUCACUGGAUACUCAUGCGAGAGCUCGGAACUGUUGACCACAUACUUUCUAGUAUGCACAUUUUUAUUACACAACAAGCAUAUGUAUGUAGUAAGAAAUAGUAAGAUCACAGUGAUUGCCAUGGCAACUGAGCAUACAUUUUUUUCUCUCCGUAGUUUCCUUUUGUUUUAAGCGAGAUGCCAUCAAUUUUCUUUUUCCCUAUCCACUCUUGGGAGCUUAGUCAUAGAUUGUUUUGGAAGGGGUAGACACCCAAUCUUCAUUUAGUGUCGUAAAGAUAUAUGCAAGCUAAUUGUGUUGUCUCUGCCGGUGUAAAGAACAUCGGCAUCAUCAAGUUUUCUACGUUGCAUUUAGUCAGUACAAAAUCACUUCAGAAAUGUGCCAUAUGCUGGUCUCAAAGACGUUAAUAACAUUUGCUAAAAUUGCCGGCAGCAACAUGCGUGCAUGAAACUAGUUUAUUAUUAUUAUUAUUGAUAACAGUGAAUUUCAUACAAAAUAAAGCUCAACACAUUAUUUUAUUGAUGAUUCGAUCAAUAAUCUGCUCCAGCGAGGCCGGUAUACCAAAGUGGUCGAGCUCGCGGCCGAGGAUGACGCGGCGGAGGAGCUCUAGUCCUCGUCGGAGCUGGCGAGGCCGAUGAACUUCUCCCUCUGCUCCUCACGGAUGCGCCGCCACUCGUCGUCCUUGUCCUUCGCUGCAAGGUUGGCCGCGACCGCCUACUUGAAGAUGAGGUCUUCGAGCCCCUCGUCGUGGCGCCGGCGCUCCGCCUCCUCACGCAAGCUCUAUUUGGCAAUGGCGGCCGCGGCCGCGUUGACAUUGGCCACGAAAUCUUCGGGCCCGACGACCGCGGGACCCCGCGGCACCCGAUCUCCCCCGGCUCCUGCUUGACGGCCACGACCUCGAUCUCCUCCGGCUCCUCCGACCACUCCCUCUUCACGGGGAGAAGCCCCGCGCCGGAAGAGGAAGAGCUCGCGGUGUGGGAAGAUCUCGCAGCGGAGGAGGAUCCCGCGGCCGAGGAGGGCGUACUAGUAGAAAACAGGGCUUUCGUUCGGGCCAGAUAAGCCCAUUAGUCCCGGUUCAGUCACAAACCGGGGCUGAUGUGAGCAUUGGUCCCGGUUCGUGCGGCUAAAGGCAUUAGUCCCGGUUCAAAUGAGCCCUUUAGUCCCGGCUUGAGACACAAAUCAGGACUAAAGGGUGUGAUGCCCUUUAGUCCCGGUUCGUGUCUCAAACUGGGACUAAAGAUUAGAGCUUUAGUACCGGUUCGUGCCUCAAACCAGUACUAAAGGUCCCAUUUUCAAACUCUACCCCCCCUCCCCCACUCCGUGGUUCACCUUUUCAGUUUUGUAAAAAGCAAAAGAAAAUGAUAAAAACUUCAAAAAUUAAAAUCCUUCGAGAUGUAGUUAUGUUACUACAUCUAUUAGUUAGGAAAAUUUAAAACUUAAAUUUGGACAUGUUUUGCAAAAAAAAUGUUAUGAAAAAGUAAAACGGCCCUAUCUUUUGCAUACGAUGUUGAAAAAAACCCGCAUAAUAUAUCAAAAAUAUCAGCACGAAAAUUCGCAUCCGAUUUUGACAGCCAUAGGCUUGUUUGCAAUUUUUUAGAAUCCUCAAAUUCUAAAAGGAAAAAAAAAUAUGCUCAAAUUUCAGUUUUUUUAAAUUUUGGUCAAACUAUGGUCAAACUACUUAUUGAAGGAGUAUUAGUGGUACUAAAUAAUUAUUCAAUAAUAUUAUUGUUACUAAAUAAAUAUUUCGGUACUUUGAAUUUUGGUCAAAUCUGGUCAAACUCUCGUCAAACUGUGGUCAAACUACUUAUUCAAGAAAUAUUAGUCUUACUAAAUAAUUAUUGUUUUUUAGAAUAAUUGUUUCAAACUCAAACAGUGAAACGUGUGACUUCAUGCUCAAGCUAAACUCCUGAGAGUUAAUAGGAUUGACAUCUUACUAUUGUGAGGAAAACAACAAGUGCAGACUUGGAAACGAGGGGGAAUAGAACCCGGAAGUUAAGCAUGCUCAGGCUGGAGUAGUGAGAGAAUGGGUGACCGGCCAGGAAGUUAGAUGAUUUGGAAUGAUGAGGGGUCAUUAGAGAAUAGAGGUUAAAUUGAGCAGUGAUGAGGGGUGAUUAGAGAGUAGAGGUUAAAUAAUUCGGAAAUUUGAAAAUCGAGAAAAAAAUUCAAAAAAAAAACCUUUAGUCCCGGUUUGUGUUACCAACCGGGACUAAAGGUGGAGCUCCAGACAGCGGCCACGUGGAGGGCCUUUAAUCCCGGUUCGUAUAAGAACCGGGACUAAAGGGGGGGCCUUUAGUGACGACCCUUUAGUCCCGGUUUCAGAACCGGGACCAAAGGCCCUCUAGAACCGGGUCGAAUGACCCUUUUUCUACUAGUGGCUUACGCCCAUGCCGAUGGUCGUACUCCUCCGUCUCGAGAAGGAGGAGGCUCGGCGGCGGCUCGAGGCCCUUGUUCGCCCACUUCCUCGCUGCGCGCUUCCUCGCGUCGUCCGAGCGGACAUGCCGCUUGUGCUCGGGGUCGCCGCCCCCGCCGGAGCUGCCACCGGAGCUGCGGCCGGAGCUCCACAUGCGGCCCCACAUGGCGGCUGGAGGAGGAAGGGGGCUCACCGGUGGCGAGAAAUGUGAGGAGGGGGGAGUGGGGAAUUGUGGCGAGACGCGGCGGUGGGGGGAUAGGGUUUCGACCCGCAUAUGCCCCGCGAACCCGUAGAUAUACUGCUUCGGGGGGAGGGGAGAGCGGUUUGUGGGCCGAGUAAAAGAAUUUACGGGCCGGGCGAGUAUACAGGCUCUGUUCUGUCCAGAAAAUUGGGCCGAGUCCAUAUACUCACCAGAAUUUUGCGGGUUUGCGACAUAUACAGGGUCUGCUAGAGUUACUCUCUGAUGUCCUUGAAGUUCCCCACCAGGUUCUCGAGGCAGCGACACGCCGCCUGCCGGUCGGCCGCGUCGGACGCCUUGCCGCUCAGGAUCUUCACCCCGCCGUAGCACCCCGCCGACGGUGCCGUCGCUUGCCCCGUCCCGUAGGACAUGCACGACGCGAUGGCGGACGUCACGUCUGUUGAGCAUACGAUUAUUAUGAAGUACAAGAUAGACUGGAUUUGGUCCUGCCUUAUCUUCUACUUCAAGUUUUGUACUUCUAUAUAUAUGCCCAUAAGGCUUAAGCAAUACGUCAACUAUUUCACCAAUCCCUCUCUAUCCAUUCUCAUGGUAUGAGCCUAACCGAUCCAACACUAGCCGUCGCCCGUCCCUUCCCCUCCGUGCCGCCGCCGGUGGUUGAUCUUCAUGACCGCCGCCGGGGCCACUGCCCGUACCAAGGGUUCGUCCGCCGGUCGUGUUGACCGGUUGCCCUAAAGAGUCUUUUUCCAGAGCCCUUACUCCGGGUUUUUCUCUCUCCCGCCGAUCAUCUUGAUCGGCGUUUUAUUUUUGCUUUUCCAAUUUAAGAUCAGUUUGCGUCGCCUGCCGCCGUCGACCACUGUGUGCCUCUACUCCAACACCGGCGCGACUGGCCGGCUCCUACACCGACCCGGCGGCCUCGCGUGACAGGCGGCCCUUCACGGCCGUGGUCCGCGCGUCUGUCCGCCCGUCACCCUGCGCCGGCCGUCGCGGCCCAGCUCCGACCAGGACCUCUCCAUUGCCACCCGCCUCCGCCGCGUCUACACGGCGGCCCUGUGGUCUGCCUCGCCGGCCUCGUCCCCGGGUGCGUCAAUGACCCACCGUGUUUGUACUCCUGUAUAUAUGUUCGAAAAGUAAUUAAAUCCACCAUGUUUGUAUGAAAGUUGUCAUGUUUGUAUGAAAUCCAACUGUGUUUGCAUGAAUUUCAUCUGGUUUGUUGAAAAAGAAUUUGAAAUGUAUGUGGCUAACUUUGGAUGGCAUCCUCCUGCAUCGGUGUCCGCGGACUGGUCCCCUCUCCCCCCGUCUGCGGACGGAUGCGGGAGGAAAUUUACUGGUUGCCAUUGGAGAUGCCCUAAGUAGGUGGACCGUCGUUGGGAAAUACACUUUGGAACCUGGUUGUAUAUACACCCAUAUAUAGAGUUUUUUCAAUAAUUAAAAAAAGUGAAAAUAGUUUAGAAGUUUUUUUUAGAAUAAACUUGACUUCCUUUCCUACUAGUAUAUAAAUUUUCAGAAAAAAACCAACAUUGACUUGAGGGCAAAAAAGACAAAAUUUAUUUGCUAUUAUAGGUCACUAUUCGCACUAGUAUCACCGGAGUACUAUUUUAGCUAAAAAAUUAUCUUUUUUCGAAAAGAAGUCAAAGAGAGAUUUUCUAUUUAUGGAAUUUUUCUCACGAGUACAAUGAAAGGUCAUGUUCAUUAAAAAAAAUAUUUUCAUUUUUUUGACUUUUUAUGAAUUACUAAUUUUCUUUCCUAUAGGGUUUAGAUACACCCAGAAACCAAACCUCCCCAUCCGACCGUCGUUGUCAAACGCAAAAUGGGACGGACAUCCUUUAAAAUAAAACUCCAAGCUCCCUGGGAAUAAAUAGCUGGGAGCGCUCAGGUUGUCACCAUCACAAUAGGGCCACUGGUCAGAUGAAUUGUUUCUGUACGUUGGCUGUAUAGCUGUUUGCAUGCAUACACCAUGCUUGUGACUCACACGAGGCUGGACGGUGGGUGGUGAGGAGCAUUGCAUCCGCACAUGCACCUUAGAUUAAACGAAGCGACCUAAUUUUCCCGGCCAGUUUAUGGGUCUACCUAAUUAACAAAUAUUUUGGUGAUUAAUCCCUUAUGCUGUACGUGGCAGCACAAAGAAGGCUCAGCUGCGUAUAUAUAAGUGCAUGUGAAUAAUUAAUACUCAUGGCCAGUUAAAUCCUAGCAUGCAUAUAUUGCCAUAAUCCACUAUACAUCAUAUUGGUACAAAAUCUCAUGCUUAUAGGAAUGUAAAAAUGAACAAUGCCAAGCAUCACAUCGUUUAUCUGUGUGAAGAUAAGAUGCAGAAGUCCAUACAAAAACUAGCAAAAUUCAGUGGUCUAUCCACAACACCAUUAACCAAAAUGAUCAAGUGACCGUUCACCCGGUGCAGCAAAGCGCACCUAUCCAUCUAGUUAACAUGAUAUGAAGUAAAUUAUGUGUACGAUCGAUCUAUCCACCUACCAUGCCAUGCAUUGAGAAAAGCAAAGCUAGGAUCUAUGACUAAUGAAGUGUACAUAUUAAUUUCCACCGGCAAAUGUACUGAUCAGGCGGUGCAGAGUGAUCAAUGCCACCAACAUGGGUGCUUUAUUUCUUAACUCCAACUAGUAAGUGGAGUGUAUAUCAAGCAUAUACUUCUACGUAGAAUAUCAUAAGAAAACCAACAUUUAAAGAAAACUUCAUGCAAACCAUCAUUAAAAGUUUUGAAAAAGUAUGGAAAAAAAUAUGGGAAGUUAAGAGGGUGAUAUUCUAUUGCUAUGCAAAAUUCCAAGUUGCAAAACAUUGCGGGAUGCGAGCUAUGGAAAAACAAAUUUCACAGUGAAUAGUUAUGUUAUGUGCUACACUAUUCAAUGUUGAUUUUGUUAUUUUUAUGGGUAACAUCCAAUAAUAUGUUUGAACUUGGAAUUCCACAUCUCAAUAGGACGUCACCCUCUUACAUUCCAUAUUUGUUUUGAGAUUUUCCCAAAACUUCAAACCAUCAUUUUUGUGUGGUUUUCAUUGGUUUCCAUCAAAUUUAGUUUUCAUGGGAGAAUAUCACAUGAAAACCAACAUUCAAAGAAAACUUCGUAGAAACGACCUUUGAAAGUUUCGAAAAAAUCUGAAAAAAAUGGGAUGUUAAGAUGGUGAUGUUCUAUUGCUAUGCGAAAUUCCAAGUUGAAAAACAUUUGUAGUUAAGUCAUGAUUUUCUCUUAAUUAUAUAAAAAUAGGAUCUAUUAUUUAUAUUUCCUUUUAAUUGUAGCAAAAGUAGGAUCUAUGAUUUAUCUUUUCUUUUAAUUAUAGCAAUAUUCCCUACCUAUCAAACAAGUGGUGUAUUCGAUAUGUCUUAAGUUACACUUUUAAAACUUUGAAUAAAAUAUUGUUUCAAAUGUUUUGAUUGAGAACAAGUAAAUAAUAUUACAUUUAAAUUUGUCUCGAAAUGCAUAUUCAUAACAUAAUUUGAGUGAAUUCCAUUUUCACCCGUUACUUUGGCAUUUUUUACACUAAUUAGCCAUUCACACUUUUCAUCCGAACUAGAUGAUCCAUUAAGUCCUUGGCACAAAAACCAAAUGCAACCAAGAAGUUAGGUGAACUAUUAGAUUAUUUUUUUGCUGAAAUACAUGCAAAAUACGAUGAUCUGUUGCGUCCUUGGCGCACAAAUCAAAUGCAAUUGAAAAGUUAGGUGAACUAUUUUUUAUUAUUUUUGGCUGCCCAUAAGAAGGUUUGAAUUGAAUGUUAACCAUCCUGCGCAGGUUUUCAAGAAGAUGUGCCGAGUACACUCAACCGGGUUCGAUAGAUAGUCAAGUUUGACAUACUGGCCGGUACCUAGUCUGUUGCCCUCUCCAACUUAAAGCCGCCCUCGGCCUUGAGGACGAAUAACGACCCAGUCGGCCGUUCCCAGGGAGUCAGCGCUGAGAGGGCGCAACGCAGCAUGGGGUUCCCCGCGAAUGUUGUGGAAAAUUAGUUCAAAUGUGAUAUAAGUUUGCAAAAUGAAGUGAUAAAUAGUGAAGGUUUUGUUUUACGGAACUAAGUUCAUGGGAUGUGUUAGAUGUCAACCCCCCAAUGCCUAAGAUUUUUUGGGAAUUAAGUUUGGGAUCUGUUAGAUGCCAAUCUCCCAAUGCCUAUGAAUUUUUAAGAAUUAUGUUUGGGAUGGGCUUUUGGCCACUAAGUUUGAGGAUGAAUCACUGUUGCCAGAUGCCCAACAUUCGUUCCCGGUGGGGGUGCUGCGAUGGCACCCCAUAGGUCGUCGUUCUUUGUAGAACCUCAUAGAGCAUCAUCUUCUGCUUUGCACCUUUGGUGCACUUGAUGUUGAUAAUUUUAAAACUACAGUUGACAAAAUUGAAUAGCAAAAGCAUAUAAAUUAUUAAGACUUAUGGUAGACCUGCACAUGGGAGAUAGAACAAAUGCAGCAAGACAAUGGAAUAAAACUCACGGUGUUGCGUUGGUUGCACCACUGGACACAAUUCACGCCUAGAUUUAUCGUUUCAUUCUAUUAAGAUAGAAUUUGGAUUUGGAAUUUUUAGAGAUUGUAGAUAUGUGGGCACUCACAAUUUUUCAGAUUUUUUUAAACUUCCUAAUUUUAAUUUUAUGCAGUGGGAUCAUGGUAUCACCAAUAGUGUGGUAUCAUAUCAUACUUUCCCCAGAGGGCAGGAUGAUAGACCACAUACUCCCUCCGUCUCGUUUUAUAGGGAGUGCAUGUAGUUCUAGGUCAUCGAUUUGACUAACUAAAUAUGAGUUAUAUGUCACCAAAAGUACAUCAUUGGAUUCUUAAGCGGAUGUAGUUUCCAAAAAUAUAUUUUUCAUCAAAUAUAAUACAGAUUUAGUUAGCUAAAUUGUCAACCUAGAACGAUGCGCAUGCCUUAUAAACCGACGCGGAGGACGUACAUUGUCCUCUGCACAAUUUUCACCCCACAACAAACAUAUUUAUGAGAAGUAGUAAGAUCCCGAUGGUUAACAUCACAACCCAGAACAAGUCUCUUUUCUCCAUUGUUUCCCUUUGUUUUAAGUGAGAUGUCAUCAAUUUUCCUUUCCAUAUCCACUCUUGGGAGCCUAACCAUAGAUUUUUUUUUGGAGGGGAUGAACAUCACAUCUUUAUUUGGUCUCGUAUAAGAAUCAUAUGUAAGUUAGUUAUGUUGUCUUUGCCAGCGGUUAGAAAAUCAUCGCUUGAUUUAUCAAGUUGACACGUUUUCCCCCCUUGCAUUUAGUUACAAAAUUACAAAUGUGCCGUGUUGGUAUCAAAGACGUUAACAACACUUGCUAAGAUUUCCAGCAGCAACAUGCGGGCAAGAAACUAGUUUAUAAACAGCGAAUGUUAAAAACUUCCGCUCAACACAUUAUUUUAUUGAUGAUUCGAUCAGUAAUCUGCUCGAUCUGUAACAAGGACAACAGAUGGAGGUGGAACACAUGCAGAAAACAACAACGAAUACACGCAGAGAGCAGCAACAGUAGACACCGAGUGGGCUAGCUAGCCUGGUGUGAUGAUGAUGCUCGUAGAUAACUUAAUGAAGGCUGCAAACACACAGACACAAAAGCUCAACGAUUAGUCUUACUAUUUAUACUUACAAAUUAAGAUUAAAUGGCUAACGAGUACUUAGAAUAUAAUCUUUCAAGUUAGGAGUGGAGGAUGUACUUGUUGCAGUUGACGCUGUUGUUGAUGGGGAAAGAGACGGAGACGCCGCACUUGCCGGGGAUGUUGGCGGCGUUACCCAUGCUGAUGCCAUUGAACGACCCCGCCAG
Molecule: long non-coding RNA, 28939 nt
Filed under: Triticum aestivum (bread wheat)
Lineage: Eukaryota; Viridiplantae; Streptophyta; Magnoliopsida; Poales; Poaceae
Description: long non-coding RNA (TAES_LNC023099)
Source: RNAcentral